GCUGCCCCUACAGGCGUUGCAGGCAUGGCUUCUGUGCUGUGUUUGUGUCAAUAGGUGGCACAGAGAAGCAGGCUGGGUCUACGCUCAGUGCUCUGAUGGGUGGGCAACUCAGAAUGAUUACUAGCCUGACAAA
Protobothrops mucrosquamatus (brown spotted pit viper) is the source of this 133-nucleotide small nucleolar RNA. RefSeq annotates it as small nucleolar RNA SNORA17. NCBI's taxonomy places the organism in Eukaryota, Metazoa, Chordata, Lepidosauria, Squamata, Viperidae. The record is from RefSeq and is a predicted model, not a curated record. The transcript has a single exon.